GUGUGACCAUCGAGGGGCCGGACACUGUGGUCCUGAAGGCUCCCAGGAGCUGUCAGUCAAACCGACAGAGCGAGAAGUCCCUCCCACAGACGGCACAGAGGUUCACCUUCACACAGGUGUUUGAUCCGGAGGCCAGUCAGAAGAAGGUGUUUGACGGUUCAGUUCGUGGUUUGGUGCGAGACGUUCUGGAGGGAGGAAACUGUCUGGUGUUCACGUACGGCGUCACCAACGCUGGGAAAACCUUCACGUUCCUCGGUCCGGACCAUGACUCAGGUCUGUUGCCCCGGUCUCUGUCAGUGAUCUUUAACAGUGUUGACGGUCGUCUGUACAGUCGAGCUGAUCUGAA
Molecule: non-coding RNA, 346 nt
Organism: Plectropomus leopardus (leopard coralgrouper)
Lineage: Eukaryota; Metazoa; Chordata; Actinopteri; Perciformes; Serranidae
Source: RefSeq, a predicted model, not a curated record